Long non-coding RNA from Mustela lutreola (European mink), 3092 nucleotides. RefSeq lists it as uncharacterized. The record is from RefSeq and is a predicted model, not a curated record. Lineage: Eukaryota; Metazoa; Chordata; Mammalia; Carnivora; Mustelidae. The transcript has 2 exons.
ACUUAGAGGUAAAGAGAUAAAUCCCAAAAGAACUGACUGAAGGUACCAUAUAGAGCUGUGGCUGAAAAGAGAAUUUGGCAGGCAAAAAAGUGGUGUUUUUCAUAACUAGUCUUGUAAGACUAGUAGUAUGUCUUUACUGUGUGCCUGCAUUACUGUGACAAAACAGACUCAAUGAACAAAAUGGUUUGUAUUUCUGAUAAUUUUCUAACCAUGUUUGUUUCCAGGCAGUAUGUAUGUUUUCACAGUGCUCAGUGCUUCUGAAAGAUGGAUGAAUAGCUCCAGGCAUUCUAAGAAGGUAUUAUUAGCGCCCUCGGCAUCUCCCUGGAUGAGUCUCUACUUUUCAUUCCAGAUGUUGUGAGACCACAUCAAACAGGAACCUCUGCCGUCAAGUCUGAACAUCUGAAUGUCUGGACUUAAAGCUGGUGCUCCUCAUGGUACAAUACAGUCACAGAUCAUCAUGACUGGCAGAUAAUGUUCUGGAUAAUGACAUUUUCUCUGAAAUAAGACCACAGAAUUCCUGAAAUUGAUAGUUUGUAGCCAUUUAAAAAAAAAAGAAAGAAAGAAAGCUUUAAAUAAUAUGUACUCAUGACUCUGCCUUAGUUAACAGAGUGGGCUGGAGCAGAACUUAAACUUGUGUUGAUUUAGAAUCGCCAUUGGCUGUACACUCCUGAUAGCAUUUUCUGUCCAUGGGAGAAACGCAGCCUGCCGUUUCCCAGAAUUCUAUCAGAUCACCUUCUAGUCAGCCAUCGGUGUCCCUGCUUCUAUUUUAAAAAUCCUAGUUUACUAGUCAAGUUUAAUAGUUUCACUUUUGCACCACUCCCCUUGGGUAGGCUUUCUAAAACCACAGAUAUUCAUAGAAUGAGAAUUUGUAGCGCUAGAAGGAAAUUGGAGCUUCCCAUUGGUCGCCUGAGGGCAGGAUGGCAGAUUGCUAAGGAAACCUGAGAAUCCAGUGUUCGUGCCAAGAAAUCAAGAUCUCUCUGUGCAUCUGAAAGAAUCAGUGAUCAAGACCUUGUCUCCAUUGCCAUUGUUGAGGUGAAAGUCUUUUAAUUUACAGCUUAAUUUCAUGGCCGCAGUUAAUCUGGAACCAGGUCCCAGGGUGAGAACGCAACUGUACCCCUGUUCAAUCCCAUCUACGGCAAGUGUCAUAGGAUUUAGAACUCCCUAAGUCCCCACCUAUGGCACCUGCCCCUCUUGAGUCAGUGUGGGAUGCAACCAUCAGUAAACUUGGGCAGUUAGGAGGUGUAUGAAACAGUCCAAGCCAAAGAUCAGGGAUCCUGAUGAGAACAGAGGAGUGUCCAGAUUCAGUCCCUGUUCCAAAGUGAGAACUGGCAGGUUUGGUGACUGGUUUCUGGGUGAAGUUAGGGGGCAGUCUCAGAUAAGAUGGCUCUCUAACUUGGGUGUGACAUAAGCCAGGAUUGAGAGCACAAAGAUAGGAGCUAUUUUAAAAGGAUAGGUAGCAGGUUCCUCUUUGCACAUAUAUUUGAGGGGAGGUGAAGAGGGAAUAUAGUUGUUACUGGCAUAACAAGCACUCGGGCUAUAACUAUUCUGGAAGAGGCUUAUGGCAUCGCCUUGACUAGGAAGACCCUGUGGUGGAAAGAGUCAGACCAUGUUGCUUCUCUUAGACCAGGUUCUUCCACCAACCAGCUGUAUUCUCCUAAGCACAUCAUAACUUUCCUGACAUUUCUAAAACAUUUUUUAAAGUCUAUAAAAUGAGAAUAUUUUCAAGGUCUGUUUUCACUGUGACAGGUAUACUUUGAUUGGCUCUGUCUCUUUUUCCAGGAUGGUAUACUUGCUUGGCUUUUUUCUUUCUUUUUUAAAAAGAACGUAUUCAUUUAUGAGAGAGAGAGAGACAAAGAACAGAGGGAGCAGGAAGCCUGAUGCAGGGUUUGAUCCAAGGACCAGGAGAUAGUGACCUGAGCCAAAAGCAAACACUUAACCAACUUGAGCCACCCAGACGCCCCUAAUUGCUUGUUUUUCCAACAGUGCACUUGUGUAUUGCGGCUGAGACAGCUACAUCAGCUUUACUGCCUUAUCAGCUGUGUCCAGUAGAAGCUUUGUCUCUCUGUCAGGGCACUGCCUGCUUCCUGUGGUUUGAAGCUAGUGGAUUAAGUGAUGGUGACUCGCUGCCCUAGUUGCAGGACUUGAACUUCCAGCACUGUCCUAAUUUCCUUGCUGUACCCUCUCUGGGACUUACUUGCUAUCGUGCAACCUUAGGAAGGUUUUUUGUUUUGUUUUGUUUAAGUUGCAGUUAAAAAAAAAAAUCACAUCCCAUAAAUUCACCAUCGUAACCAUUUUUUUAAAAAGUGUACAAUUUCAUAACUUUUAAUCCAUUCACAAUGUGGGCCAACCAUCACCAUAUUCAAGUUCCAGAAGAUUGUUACUAUCCCACAAAGAAACCUUGUUACCCGUGGAGCAGUCACUCCCCAUUUCCCCUUCUCCAACUCCUGGCAACCACUAACUGCUUUCUGGCCCUUUGGAUUGGUCUCUUCUGAAUUUUCAUGUAGAUGGAGUCAUAAGAACCGUGUCCUUUUGUGUUUGGCUUUUCUCACUUAGCAUGAUGUUUUCAGGGUUAGUCUGUGUCAUGGCAUAUAUCGGUGCUUCCUUCUUUUGUACAGCUGAGUAAUAUUCCACUGCAGGCACAUCACACAUAUUGUUUAUCUGCCCAUCUACUGGUGGACAUUUGAGUUGUUUCAAACUUCUGGCUGUUGUGAAUAGAGAUGCUAUGAAUGUUCGUGUGUAAGUUUUUGCUUGAACACCAGAUUUCAAUUCUUUGGGGUACAUACUUAGGAGAAGAAUUUCUGGCUCAUAUAGUAAUUCUAUGUUUAACUUUUGGAAGAACUACCAAACUGCUUUCCAUAGCAGCUGAACCAUUUUACAUUCCCAUCAGCCACUUAUGAGAGUUCCAGUUUCACAGUAUCCUCACUAACACCUGUUAUUUUUUUUAUUUAUUAUAGCCACCUUAGUGGGGGUGAAGUAAUAUCCCACUGUGGUUUGGGUUUGUAUUUUCCCAAUGAUCAGUGAUGUGGACUUAUCCUUCCAUGUGCCUGUUGGCUAUUUGCAUAUCUAUUAAAACCUUUUGCCUAUUUGUUUCA